UACGUAGGGGGCAAGCGUUAUCCGGAUUUACUGGGUGUAAAGGGAGCGUAGACGGCGAUGCAAGCCAGAUGUGAAAGCCCGGGGCUCAACCCCGGGACUGCAUUUGGAACUGUAUAGCUAGAGUGCCGGAGAGGCAGGCGGAAUUCCUAGUGUAGCGGUGAAAUGCGUAGAUAUUAGGAGGAACACCAGUGGCGAAGGCGGCCUGCUGGACGGUGACUGACGCUGAGGCUCGAAAGCGUGGGGAGCAAACAGG
Molecule: ribosomal RNA, 253 nt
Filed under: uncultured bacterium
Lineage: Bacteria
Description: partial 16S ribosomal RNA
Rfam family: Bacterial small subunit ribosomal RNA
Source: RNAcentral